This is a long non-coding RNA of Polypterus senegalus (gray bichir), 648 nucleotides long. RefSeq lists it as uncharacterized. The record is from RefSeq and is a predicted model, not a curated record. NCBI's taxonomy places the organism in Eukaryota, Metazoa, Chordata, Cladistia, Polypteriformes, Polypteridae. The transcript is spliced from 3 exons.
CUUUCGACAUGGACGUUUACGCGCGCUUUCAUGCAGGUCGACAGCAAUAGGUUGAAAAUCACAAGUGAAAACUCUUCUUUAUGCAGCAACACACAACAUUUUUCAUGGACCUCCAGGAAGCUGUGCCCUUCUGUUUUACAGCUUGCCUUCUGAGUGGAGUGUGCAUGUUCUACUCCUGGGCCGCCUUCAUACAGUAUCUCUGAGUCAUGCAGGUCCAGUGCGGUCUAAUGAGGCAAUUAAGAACGCAAAUAAAAUAGAUGAUUACUUUGCCUUGAAGCACAGAAUAUAAAUCAAGAUGCCUCAGUGGAAGGAAAUGGAGAACUACAUUAAAACAAGUGAUUUGGAGAGAGAUCCUGUUCUACCCAAGAAUGACGAGAAUAGCAGAAAUGUUGCUGAGGUGAGUAGAAUUAGUGAGUGCCAGAGGAUCACAAUAGAAAUGGGCAACAGUGAAAGGUAGACCACCAGAACUGGUACUUUGUCAGAGCUGAUAACGGGACUGUGAUACUUGUGUAUGUGUGUGUCAUGUCAGGAAAAAUAUGCAAUGCUUCCAGAAAUGUACAAAGUCAAAAUUUAGCUGGUUAAAAGGGAAAGAACUUUAAAGCAGGGAUUUGUAAUGGCUCAUUAAUGAAGAGAAAUAAAAUUAAGAAC